CCUGCACAUGGAAGUGUCUCAGAUGUGGCUGCUAUGUCAUAUGUGCAUCCCUAGGUGACGGAGAAGAGGCUAUGCCUGUGCUAAGUAUUCUGACCUAUGAAUAUCUGAAUCAAUAGUAGUCUAACAUU
Molecule: small nucleolar RNA, 128 nt
Organism: Mastomys coucha (southern multimammate mouse)
Lineage: Eukaryota; Metazoa; Chordata; Mammalia; Rodentia; Muridae
Product: small nucleolar RNA SNORA17
Exons: 1
Source: RefSeq, a predicted model, not a curated record